This 549-nucleotide ribosomal RNA is filed under the name uncultured bacterium. RNAcentral describes it as "bacterial SSU rRNA". It matches the Rfam family "Bacterial small subunit ribosomal RNA", at positions 355 to 896 of the family's 1533-position model. The record is from RNAcentral.
UAGGGAAUCUUCCGCAAUGGACGCAAGUCUGACGGAGCAACGCCGCGUGAGUGAAGAAGGUUUUCGGAUCGUAAAACUCUGUUAUGAGAGAAGAACACCCACUAAUUAACUACUAGUGGUUUGACGGUAUCUCAUCAGAAAGCCACGGCUAACUACGUGCCAGCAGCCGCGGUAAUACGUAGGUGGCAAGCGUUGUCCGGAUUUAUUGGGCGUAAAGCGAGCGCAGGCGGUUUCUUAAGUCUGAUGUGAAAGCCCCCGGCUCAACCGGGGAGGGUCAUUGGAAACUGGGAGACUUGAGUGCAGAAGAGGAGAGUGGAAUUCCAUGUGUAGCGGUGAAAUGCGUAGAUAUAUGGAGGAACACCAGUGGCGAAGGCGGCUCUCUGGUCUGUAACUGACGCUGAGGCUCGAAAGCGUGGGGAGCAAACAGGAUUAGAUACCCUGGUAGUCCACGCCGUAAACGAUGAGUGCUAAGUGUUGGAGGGUUUCCGCCCUUCAGUGCUGCAGCAAACGCAUUAAGCACUCCGCCUGGGGAGUACGACCGCAAGGUUG